AACUGGGCGGAGGGAAUGAGUUCCUAAGCACCUAAACACGACAGCUCAGACAAAACCCAGUGGCUUUUUAUUUUUUUUGUUUCUUGAUAUACCGCCUCUAUCCACUGUACUAAAAACAAAACCAGGAAAAAAAA
This 134-nucleotide non-coding RNA is filed under the name Pseudopedinella elastica. The record is from RNAcentral. Lineage: Eukaryota; Dictyochophyceae; Pedinellales.